RNAcentral lists this ribosomal RNA (292 nucleotides) under uncultured Flavobacterium sp. RNAcentral's name for it is "partial 16S ribosomal RNA". It matches the Rfam family "Bacterial small subunit ribosomal RNA", at positions 505 to 796 of the family's 1533-position model. Lineage: Bacteria; Pseudomonadati; Bacteroidota; Flavobacteriia; Flavobacteriales; Flavobacteriaceae. The record is from RNAcentral.
GUGUCAGCCGCCGCGGUAAUACGGAGGAUCCAAGCGUUAUCCGGAAUCAUUGGGUUUAAAGGGUCCGUAGGCGGUUUGAUAAGUCAGUGGUGAAAGCCCAUCGCUCAACGGUGGAACGGCCAUUGAUACUGUUAAACUUGAAUUAUUAGGAAGUAACUAGAAUAUGUAGUGUAGCGGUGAAAUGCUUAGAGAUUACAUGGAAUACCAAUUGCGAAGGCAGGUUACUACUAAUGGAUUGACGCUGAUGGACGAAAGCGUGGGUAGCGAACAGGAUUAGAAACCCCAGUAGUCC